UGUGAGCGGUCUAAACUUCGACCCUUAUUUCUUCCAAUUAUGUUCUCGUACCCAAGCCCGCCUCCUCUACUUUCUUAUGUGAAAGAGGUCCUUGCUUUAUGAGAUAAAAAAACUUUCUUUCUUCGGUCGGAAUACAAAUAAGUAAUGCUCACCAGGAGGCCGGAGGCAAGCCCAAAACUGUAGAUAUAGGUCUUUCUUUAAGAACAAAAAGCUUGGGACAUUGCUUGGGCCGAGUUAAGUAAACGAUUGCUUCCAAUCACAUGUAUUUGGUCUCAUCAGGGAUUGCAUUACGACAAAUAGACUAAGAGACCUUUCCAAACUUCAUGUGUUAAGCAAAUCUUUCUUUUUCAAAAAAAACGGCUUUUUAAGA
RNAcentral lists this unclassified non-coding RNA (370 nucleotides) under Hevea brasiliensis (rubber tree). The record is from RNAcentral. Lineage: Eukaryota; Viridiplantae; Streptophyta; Magnoliopsida; Malpighiales; Euphorbiaceae.